GAAAAUGAAGACAUCUUCCUACAUAGAAGGAGUUAAAAACAUUUAUCUCCUACAUGAAAAGAAACGCACACUCAUAUAGACACACAGCUCCAUAAGGAUGAACUGUAGCAAAAUUAAAAGGGAUCUAUUUAAAUCGAAGCACAGGCUCCAGGAACCUGGACCUAAUUCAGGUGUAUGAGGGAAAUGCAUGUCGGGAACACAGCUUUUGUGGGCCUGGAAAACAGGGGGAAAAAAGGACGAGAUUAAAGAAGAAUGACUUUGGAGUUUCUAAGUGGCUUAGCAGUGAAGGAUCCUGUGUUGUCACUGCUGUGGCCUGGGUCUCUGGUGUGGUGCAGGUUUGAUCCCUGGCGUGGAAACUUCCCUAUGCCGUGGGCAUGACCAAAAUAAAUAAAUAAAGACGAAUGACUUUGCAAACAAAGUAGUUUCUGCUCAACAAGCUCUCUGAUAAAGAACCAGGAAGCUCCUGGGAUGUGAUGAAAGAAACACGGAUAUUUUUCUCUCAACAAUAAAACUGAAGAAAAACAAAAAGCCCCAUAAGAAAGUUGUGGCAGACCCUGAAUCCACUUGGUCUUAGGACAUGGAAUGUCUUCUCCACCACCGGAAAAUAUACCCCAAAACCCUAGAGUACAGACAUGGAUCCUGCCGGCUUUGCCUUACACGUUCCAUCAACAUUCUUUAACUAAUUAGGAGAAUUGAAAGAGAAAAUAAAAGGAGGCUUUUCUGACCCACUUUGUGGUGACAGCUCAGGAAUGUUGUGAUGGGAGUGGAAGCCGCAGGAAGCGGGGUGCAGGGGCCGGUCCCCUAACCUACGGAAUUGUACCUGAUGUUGGUACCUGGCCGCAUGGAAUGCCCCAGUGCCAGGAUGAGGGCUCUGAGUCCAGCUGAUUCCAGGAGUCCACAGGCAACAAGCUCAUCGCAGUUGGUUGCUGUGGAAUAUUAAUCACUUUAAGUAUCAGAUUUGACCUAUGUCACAGGCUCCCUCGAUUUCUUUCAGAAGACAGCGACGGCCACAUAGACAUGGGGCCCCGUGAACCUGAUGGACAGGAUACGGGAGCAUCCAAGGAUGCAGGCCUCCCAGAGGUACCACCACCUCAUGGAUGGGAGAGCUUCUAAUAACAUGGAGUUAUGUCUCCUUCUCCGUGUAUUGACUCACCCUUCUUUACAGAAAACAGUAUUUGUAUAAUGAUAUCAUCAACUGCAUUGACUAUUUUUUAUUUUAUUUUGUUUAUUUGUUUUAUUAUUAUUAUUAUUAUUAUUAUUAUUAUUUUUAGGGCUGCUCCUGAGGCAUAUGGAGGUUCCCAGGCUAGGGGUCCAAUUGGAGCUAUAGCUGCCAGCCUACACCACAGCCACAGCAAUGCAGGAUCCACGCCUCAUCUGUGACCUACACCACAGCUCACAGCAACACCAGCUGCUUAACCUACUGAGAGGGGCCAGAGAUCAAACCUGCGUCCUUUGGAUACUAGUCAGAUUCGUUUCUGCUGAGCCAGGACGGGAAGCCUGACUUUAGUUUUUAAAAUUAACCCAUAGGCAAUUAAGUUGUUGAGGCAAGAGUUGAUUAUAGAUGAAACAUUAAUAUUAUAAGGCCUGAUAAAUGAAAAGUCGUGAUGGAGCUGACGGAACUAGGAGGAUGGUACUCAGUGGGGGAGGAUAGGAUAGGAGAAAUAGUUUCUUCAUCUUCCGUAGCAGAAAACCAAGAAAUAGUUUAGUAGUAACGGCUUAUACUUAAAUUUAGUACAAAUAGUAUAUAGUUGUUGAAACGAGAGUUAGAGGUUUUCAUAUAUUUUUAGAGUUAAAAAUAUUAAAUUGACCCAAUAAAAACUAUUGUUAUAAUUAAGAAACUUCUGGAAGGUAAGAAAGGAAAAAGCAUCAUGAGCUAACUAUUUCAUCUACAGAGUGGGGAGUCAAACUGCUAAUCAGAGAUAUAUUAUCAGGGAACGAAGACUAGGUGAUGGGGAAAGAUUGGGGACUUUUUUUUUUUUUUUUUAAUAUCCUGCUUGGUGGUUCCAUUUUUUUAACCUUGCGUCCAUAUAUUUUUUUUUUUUUUUAAUUCUUGCUCUGUCUCUCGCCCUUUCUAACCCUUUCGCUCGCUGAUCCAAACACGCUAUGGAUGUUAAAAAGCAAAAAGCAGCUGAUCACUUUCAAAAUGGCCCCAGCGUGGGGUUGCUCAGGCUCACUUGGCGGGCGAGCUCUUUUUCUCCCACCCCUUAUACCCUGCUCUGGAAUCUUCUCUGACUCUGAGACCAGCUCGCUGGUGGGGGAGGGGAGGGCAGAAUCGCAGUCUCACGUUUGCAAAGCUUCGGGCAAAGGUUCUCUCUGCUCCAUCCUGGCGGUCUGCUUUGUUCCUGUGUGUCUGGGUGGGGUGGGGGGUGGGGCGCCCGGGCGCCUCCCCUCCCCCCUGAAGCUAGAACUCCCUCGGGUGGACCCAGUGUGAGGGCAGGCAGGGGAGGGACUUGCUCAGGGACUUGAUGCUGGGUUGGGGAGUGACAAGGUCUGAUUUCUACUUGAGAGAAAUCCCAGCCUCCCAGGGGAGCAGAGCCUGGAGGCAGGAAGGCCAGAUUGUCACCCGUCCCAGGGACACAUGCAGGAGGUGACGAGGCAGCAGAGGGACAGCUGUGCUGGGGCUGGAGGAGGGAUCCAGUGUCCCUGGGACCUGGGAGAACCAGCUUGGCCUCUUCCGGGACCCCCAUGGCUGCCUCGUGCAUGAUGCGUUUACCACUGCGGUUUGGGGGGUCGCGUGUGAACGUGGGCCUGUCUGGCCGUGCACACCUUUGCCCUGAGCAUGGUGAGCCUGAUGUCUCGUGGACGGCAGGACGCCGCAGGUGCGUGACCUGGACGGGUCCGGAACUGGAGUCCCGCCCCGCCCGCUCCGGGCUCUGCGCUCUGCCCUCCUGGAUGAGGCCUCACUCCCGCAGUGGGGAAUUUCAGAAGUGAAAUUCGAAGUUGCUACUGAUUUGAGUCACCUUUUCUUCUUCUUUCAAUAAUGACUCUUGAGUGAAAAUUAGGCUGCUGUGUGGGUGGCUGUUAAGGGUGCCUCGUUUCCACUUCGGAGAGCUGCCCACACAGCAGAUUUUAGUAGCACUGGAAGUGGGACCCGAUGUUGCCUCCCAGCUGCUAUAUGCCAAUAAAAAGCCCUUAAGCUGAUUAUAAGGAUGCCAAUUUAAAUGUCCGGGUACCAUUUCCAUGAGGGGAGAAAUGUCUUCAUUGAUUCUGAGGCCUCAUGUCCCCUCUGGGGGCACAUCCACCUGUGACUCUGGCAGAGGGUGGCCCCGGCAGGGGAGGGGUGGCUGUGGAAAGAGCACUGGACACAGAGUCAGGGCACCAGGGUCCAGCUGCUGACCUGCCGCUGUACUGUGGUUUAAGAGAGUCGCUUCUUGGAGUCCCUCUCAUGGCUCAGUGGAAAUGAAUCUGACUAGCAUCCAUGAGGAUGCAGGUUCGAUCCCUGGCCUCACUCAGUGGGUUAAGGAUCCGGCGUUGCUGUGGUGUAGGUCGCAGAUGUGGCUCAGAUCCUGCGUUGUUGUGGCUGUGGUGUAGGCCGGCAGCUGCAGCUCUGAUUUGAGCCCUAUCCUGGGAACCUCCAUAUGCCGCAGGUGCGGCCUUAA
Molecule: long non-coding RNA, 3599 nt
Filed under: Sus scrofa (pig)
Lineage: Eukaryota; Metazoa; Chordata; Mammalia; Artiodactyla; Suidae
Description: lncRNA (ENSSSCG00005003019.1)
Source: RNAcentral